ACAGGCAGGGAGAGCCUCCUGGUGAGGUUGCAGCCAAUUGAUAGAAGGAGUGUUUUGAGAAGAAAGGAAAAAGAUCAAGUAGCAUGGCUGAAAGCCUGGGGGGGUGUGCAGACAUCUAAAUGAAACAACAAGGUUCAGGACUCGUGUCAUCUUCUUCAGGCACAAACACCUGCACUGAAGAAAACUUUUCCAGACUAUCACAAUAGCAAAGUUGUUGCACUUUCUGAAAAUGAUUUCUUAUAAACGUCAAUCUGUAGGACAUGCGUGAAGUCAAGAUUCCCAACCCAUUCACAGUUAAAGGCUUCAAGCUGCCCCUAAGAAGUUCUUCCAGAUUGGUUCCUUCCUCCAUCCCAGGAGAUGUUCAUGUGAUGAGGAUCUGUGAUUGCGGAAGAAAAUAGCUAAGAAACAUAGAAAUGGAAAUGAGGACGCAGAGAGAGGCAGAGCUGUUCACUCAGAGAGAAGAGAACUGUCUGUAGAUUAUAUACUUGUAGCCAAGAGUUGUUUCUUGCUGGCAAUCACUGUAGUUACAAUCACCCAGAAACUUCAGGAGCCCAUUCUACAAUGUCUCUGAACUCCAGAAUGCAUUCAGGAAUGAAGAAAUGGAAUAAUUCAAAGGGAAAGAUGUGUUAGUCUUCAUCUGUACCAGAACAGUACAGGUGAUUAAACACCAAAUAGAGGUUUACAAAAGAACACAGCCCUAAGCUAUAUCCAGCAACUCCGUCUUUCUUUGUAAAAAAUAGCUGAAAAAUAUUCUAAAUGUUUUUCAUAUUUUAAGUCAUCACAUUUAUUUUUCCAUCAUUGUCUUCUACUAAUAUAUCAUACGAUUC
Molecule: long non-coding RNA, 827 nt
Organism: Gallus gallus (chicken)
Lineage: Eukaryota; Metazoa; Chordata; Aves; Galliformes; Phasianidae
Source: Ensembl